This 489-nucleotide long non-coding RNA is filed under the name Terrapene triunguis (Three-toed box turtle). RNAcentral describes it as "Terrapene carolina triunguis (Three-toed box turtle) lncRNA (ENSTMTG00000009364.1)". The record is from RNAcentral. Lineage: Eukaryota; Metazoa; Chordata; Testudines; Emydidae.
CACUGUUCUGGAAGACAACAGCCGAGAGCUAGAACUUCGAAUCAGUGCCAUUGUUGAUUACACCCAGUUCAAGCUAGAAGCUAACUUGGUGCAGUUCAAGGAGACCUUGCUCUUCCAGACCAGGGUGUUCAAGUUCCAGCUGUCCAAUAAGGGGAAUGUGGCGCUGGAGUACUCCUGGAAGGUGGUCAUGGAGGACAGCAGAAGGGCAGUCAACUUUACUGAAGAACCGUUGCCAUACUGUCCUGAAGGAGAGUUCCCAUCUGCCACAUCUGCUGCCUCCACCAAAAUACCAUGCAGUCGACCCACUAGCCAGCUAGGCAGUGUUCUGGAGAGUGUCUCAUCCUUCCUGUGUGCUCUUGCUGCUCUCCCUCCAUUCUCCAUGGAACCCAGCAGUGGCCUCAUCCCAGCCGGGAAGAAGCAGCAGUUCCUGUUGAAAUUCUCCCCACUGGAAGUGGGAGAAUUUGAGGGCCGCCUACUCUGCAGGUAGGA